CUAUUUUUCAUGCAAUAUUCCUUUAAAUUCUUACUAAAAUGAGAGAUGGGUUCAAGUAAAUUUCUGACCUGGUCUUAUUUAGUAUAUUGGGACUGUAAUGCUGCACACACACACACACACACACAGGUGAAGCUCUUGUUUAGCAGCACAACCUUCACUCUGUUUUGGUGUCCUGACAAAAGGGAGACUUGGUGACGUCACUCACAGCUGUAAAACAUCCAGAGGUUCAGCAGGACCUUGGCCUCAGCCGGGUCCACAUGGGCUCUACGGUUCACAGCAAACUCAGACGCUUUCUCCUGCAGUUCCACCCAAAUGUUAUUGUCCGGGCCCUCUGCCCUCCUCAAUCAGACAUGCGUGAUUUAUCGCCUGGGCCGCUGGGCCUGACAGCAAAACACAAUGACAUGCACGCACACACACUUACACACUCAGACACACACACACACACAAUCAGAAGCAGAUGAAUCUCAUUUCAAAGACUACAGCUGCGUAUAAUUGGCCAUGCAAGGACAAAAUAGAGCAAUAUUCUCCCCCAAAAAUCAUAAUGCCUAAAAAUAAUUUAGGCAUGGUUUGGAAAUAAGUAGGCCUGUAUGUGCAGGGCUGCUUUAAAUGAUUCAAAAAUAGAGCAAGAGAGGGAGAGUGAAGGAGGGGAGAGAGGAGAGGAAAGGAGAGGCGGAAGGGUGCUAGGCCUUGCCUUGAAAUGGAGAGCCUGACUGGAAUACUAAUGCGUCUGAAUUUAUGCAUCUCCUCAGUCUGCAGCCAUGAGAGGGGGGUGGGGGAGACAGAGAGAAAGAGAGAGAGAGAGAGAGAGAGGGAGAGAGAGAAGAGAGGGGGAGCAGGGGAGUUAGAGGGGGGAGAAAAGGGUGUGAAUGUGGAGGUGAAAGGGGGCGGUUAUGUAGAAGAAGAGAAAAGUAAAACCAUGGCUGAUUGAUUCCAUCCAUCUAUUUUAGUUUGAAAUAAUCCCUGAUUUCUGGGGGGAGGAAAGAAAUAACCCCUGGAUGGAAGAGGAGCCAGCAGCCGAGCAAACAAGCAGAGCAAGCCAAGGUCCGGAGCAGCACUGCAGUAUCCUUGAGCCGUUUCCACCUCUUCUACCACGAUGUGGGGACACAAACCUCCCCCUCUGAAUAUUUCUGAUUUCUUAGAGUCUCCAGCAGCUAAGCUCAGCACAGAAAUAACUAACCAGUGGAAGAAUGAUUGACUUAGGAAAAUGUUUAAAGAAGAGUUAAAGAAAUAUAACAGGUGAAAGAUAAAAGCACAUUUCAGGGUUUUAAAUGAGGAACUUCAGGUAAUUAUUUUCCCAAAAUGCUCAGGUCAGGUGACUCGACUCUGCAUCAGCGGAUAAUUGAGCCUCUGAAUGGGAUCCUGAAUGAGAGCGGACUGAUCAUCAGACAGGACAGCAACAAUAGAGAAGCAGAGGAAGAAGAAGAGGAAGUGACUUGUGUUGAAGUUGUUUCCAGGAUGUGCUUGUUUGUUUACUGGCAAGGGAUAAUGGGACCGACUGACUCACACCUUUUCUUUUCAGAAGCAUCUCAUCUCAAACCCUCGACUCUCUUUGAAUUUGUUUUGUUUCAAAGACUUUUGUGAAAAGUUAAGAAGUUAAAGGUUAAAAAAAGCAGUUACCCAAUUCUUCCAAAUUGAUAUUAUUUCCAAAGCUUGUUAUUUUUCCUGCUCUUUAAAAGAAAGAUGAGGGUCAAUAAAGCAAGUAACACACAUUCAGAUUAGAGAGAUAAAACUAAACAGCAGGGCAGCUCCAGUUUUUUGGAGUACGGAAUAAAAGUUUGAGAGGCCCUGCUAGGUUUUUUUUUUUCAGCAAAACCAACACCGAAGAAGUUCACAGAGAGGACAGAGGACAUCACGAAUCUCUUAAAUUAGAAAGAAAGUGAGCAGAGGGCUGCAGACAGAGAACACAGACAGAAAUCAAACAGCAGCCCACAUGAGAGCGUUCAUACAUGGAAACAAUCAAUAUCAGCUGCCAGGAGCCUGCUGCUUCUACAACCACACAGACCUUAUCUGAUCAUUUUCUUAGAGUUUUUUUUAUUUUUAUAUUCUUUACAACCCUCACUCCCCUCUCAAGUUCAUGUUAAGUUAAUGAAUAUUUUUCACUCUCCUUUAUGUCAGUGUCAAAGUCUGAUCCUUGUUUUCAGGCUGCUGGUUGUGUUUUGUUGUAAAGUAGAGGUUUUAGCAUUUUCUUCAAGUGACCCCAAAAUUCAGCUGUGUGCUCUCUGUCAGCUUUCAUGACUUCAGCCAAAGACUUCAACAGUUUUCCCUAAUGUUUGGAACAUGUUGAGUCCAGAACCUUUAAAAAAAAGAGUCCAGUAAUUUACUCUAUGUGUUAACUGUUAGGUUUGUGCAGUUUUUUUACUCUGAUAUAUUGUUAAUAAUUUUACAGAAUAUAGUACUCUUUACACACCAACUUGUCAAACUGUUAAAUUUAAAAAUAAAUAAAUAAAUACAUGAAUAAAUGAAUACAUUUAAUCCGUUAACUUCAGCUUUUUCUAAACUGAGGGUCCUGGAUCUUCCUUCUCUUUCACGUACACAACCUCAGCAGAAACGCUCACACUGAUGGGAAUCCCAACUCUUUUUAGAGAUCCGAUUAAUUUGGCUCAGCAAGAACCAGCUCUUUACACUCCCAGUCUACUCCUCAUCACCUUUUUCUUGGACUUACAUUAGUCAGAUCUCAGAGUGGAGUGACACACACACGACUCCCCACCUUUGUGUAGUUGCUGUCUAUUACCACAGUGUUUAGUGUCGCCUCUACAGCUCAGUCAGGGAAGCUUAAAAUGCCAGUAUUCAGUUUGGGCGUGUCAUUUUCAAAAAGAAACUUGAGAAACAGGCAGAGGGGGAAAGAGGUUUCAGAAAAAUUAAUUUACAAAAUUGACUUUUUUUCAGAUUUAAUAAAUACCAAAUCAAAGCAAGUUUGUAAAUAAAUAAAUAAUAAUAAUAAUAAACAAGUUUUCUUAAUUGUUAAGAUACUUUGGGGAUAUAUGGCUCAUUUUUUUUUAAAUACUUAUAUACCCAAACAGACACCAGAUUUGUCUUUUAGGUCCUUAAAUGAACAAGUUUGUUCCUAAAAGAUUCACAAAAACACUUUAAACAAAAACACUUUAAACAAUAACACAGAUGUGACACAUCGGUGCAUGAAGGAUUUAGAGCCAUUGAUUUUUCCUUUUUAGAGCUCCCUGUGUUGAUUUAGCGCCCCCUGGCUAAGCAGUCUUUGCUGAUUUUGUUCUGUAUGUGUGUAAAAAUUUGUGUUUCUUGAUUAAAAACCCUGCUUUAUUUUUUACUGUAACGCUCAUUCAAAAAAAUGCUGUAAAAUGUCGACAAAGGCAGUCAAUCACUUGGUUUCAGAC
Molecule: long non-coding RNA, 3347 nt
Filed under: Xyrichtys novacula (pearly razorfish)
Lineage: Eukaryota; Metazoa; Chordata; Actinopteri; Labriformes; Labridae
Source: RNAcentral